GUGUGAAUAUACCGACAUGGACAUCGAUUAACUCCUGUCGUUCUCUUCAGGUGCCGCUAUAUUGUCCAGGAGACCCCAUAAAUUUCCAAGGUGUCUAUUUUCUCCAUACCCACUGAGCCACACUUUAGCAUAUGGAAAAGUACAUAAGAAGUGUUGACGGUGAUCGCGGUCCACUAUAAUAUAUGUACAUGAACAUUUUCCUCUACGACGAUGUCUGUGUGAUCACUUCGUGACGAGUCAAAAAUUUCGUCAUUCUGACUAAGAUAAUGGGUUAGAGAUCAUCUAAAGAAAAAUAUUCACAAAUAAACCGGAGCUUGGAAUACUCAUAGAUGCUGCUGUUCACUUGAGGAAGCUAUAAGAAUAUAAGAAAGAUCACAAUAAUAUUGGAAAGGCACUGAAUGAGUUUGUCUCUUCUUUUUAAGAUCACGUGCACCAAAGGUUUUUAUCAAUUACUUCAAUAUAUCGUAAAAUUUUCAAUCAAAACAAUCAAU
This is a long non-coding RNA of Phlebotomus papatasi, 491 nucleotides long. RefSeq lists it as uncharacterized. The record is from RefSeq and is a predicted model, not a curated record. NCBI's taxonomy places the organism in Eukaryota, Metazoa, Arthropoda, Insecta, Diptera, Psychodidae. The transcript is spliced from 3 exons.